AGGGAGGUCACUCAGAGGCAAUGGCAAAGGGGCCUCUGGGGCCCAGCACACUUCCUGCCUGGCUGCCUGAGUUCAUCCCCUCAGCGUCCUCUGCUAUGCUGUGUCAGCAGGUUUGAUAAAAUCGCCACCCUACAGAUCUCCCCAACCCUGUCCUUGCAUUCCUCAACACCAUCCUUUCAGAGCUGCCAGAGUGGCCUGCACAGAGGGGACCAUGACAGUGACGGCUUAGAAAGUUUCUGUGGCCUCCCUCCACUUGUCAAGAAAGACAAGCCCCUCAAAAGGCCUGCCUGGGCUUCACUCAGGCUUCUUGUCUUCCCUUUGCCCCAGGAUCCUGUCGGGGCUCACACUCAGCAAAGCUGGAGACGUGUCUCCCCAUAAAUACCAAGCAGAAGCUAGAGGCCUGUGUGCAAGAUGUGAGUUUACCCAACUCCGAUCCAACAGCUGGUCACAAGCUAGCGAGAAGAGGAAAAGAAAGCAGAUCUAUGCCAAUUCAAGCCUUAAUUUCUCAGCUCUCUUAGAAAUCAUAUUUAUUUCCUGGUUUCCAGAAGCUGGGAGUCACUAUGUCAGUGGAGUCCUUUACUUACCUAUCCAAGCCCUGGAGGAGAAGCCUGAGGCUGGGCAAGCUGCUGGCAGUGUGGCUGCAGCUCAUCAGACAAGCCACCAGGUGCCAUUCAAACAGAGUUGGGGUGGCUGAGGAUGGAGGUCUUUAUGUGUCAGAUUUACUAUAAAUGUAAAAAAAACCCACUAAUGUAAAGUAUUAACUUAUUAGACGUUCCAAAAAUA
Gorilla gorilla gorilla (western lowland gorilla) is the source of this 783-nucleotide long non-coding RNA. RefSeq lists it as uncharacterized. NCBI's taxonomy places the organism in Eukaryota, Metazoa, Chordata, Mammalia, Primates, Hominidae. The transcript has 2 exons. The record is from RefSeq and is a predicted model, not a curated record.